RNAcentral lists this unclassified non-coding RNA (438 nucleotides) under Hevea brasiliensis (rubber tree). The record is from RNAcentral. Lineage: Eukaryota; Viridiplantae; Streptophyta; Magnoliopsida; Malpighiales; Euphorbiaceae.
AUAAAUAAUAUUAAAAUUACAAAAUAUAAUCAAUAUCCAACUCACAGACUGGUCGACACAACUACAACUGAUUCAGCUAGAAGGGAGAAAACUGGCUAACACCGAUAACCUAUACAGAUACAUUGAUCUCUAUCAAUUUACUAAUAGAAUUAAUCAGUUAAUUUAAUUUUUAGAAGCAAGAAUAAGUCCUAAGGUCUUGUCAAAAUUUUAACAAAGUUUCCCCUAUAUCUGGACUUAACCCCCUGUAAGAAAACUCAAUAGAAAGCAACACACAAGACCUUAGGCCCACAACAACUACACCACAUACCCAUGCAGGGCUCACAAGAACUUAAUCUAAGUCCAGAUCUCUAAUCUCUAGCUUGGGUCCUUAACUUUUUUACAAUCUAAUUAUAACUACAAUCUCGAAAGCUCUUACUAAAAUAUCAUGAUAUAAUUAUA